This 373-nucleotide long non-coding RNA is filed under the name Oryza sativa aus subgroup. RNAcentral's name for it is "lncRNA OsN22_09G004820". Lineage: Eukaryota; Viridiplantae; Streptophyta; Magnoliopsida; Poales; Poaceae. The record is from RNAcentral.
CGGGCGCUCCGGGUCCCAAGGCCAAGACCAACUUCACUCUCUCCCUCCCUCACGCCCAGCCCCAGCUCCACCACCAUCAGCACCACCACCACCACCUCACCUACCCACCCUACUCCGCUGCCAUCGCUAGCUAGGCCAGCCACCACCAGCCUUAACUCCACCGUUGAGUCAUUCGGCACCAGGCCGCGACUGAUCCUUGAUGGUGACUGCCACAAUGAUUGCGGGUUGUCGGCGUCGAUGGUUAAUGAGGACUGCACGGAUGCCACCGCCUCACUGUCGUGUCAGCACACGUUUCAGUUUGACCUCAACUUGCCGCCUAUCGGCAUUGGCGUCGGCGACGUUGGUUGUGUCUGUUGGAAUUAAUGGAUGGGCC